GGAGGUCCGAACCCACGAGCGUUGAAAAGCUCGGGGAUGACUUGUGGGUAGCGGUGAAAUUCCAAUCGAGCCCGGAGAUAGCUGGUUCUCCCCGAAAUAGCUUUAGGGCUAGCCUCAAGGUGAGAGAUACGGAGGUAGAGCACUGAAUGUCCUAGGGGGUAUUGCACCUACCGAAGACUAUCAAACUCCGAAUGCCGUCAUCUUAUACUUGGGAGUCAGACUGUGGGUGAUAAGAUUCAUAGUCGAAAGGGCAACAGCCCAGAUCGUCAGCUAAGGUCCCUAAAUGUAAGUUAAGUGGUAAAGGAUGUGGGAUUGCACAGACAACCAGGAUGUUGGCUUAGAAGCAGCCACUCAUUCAAAGAGUGCGUAAUAGCUCACUGGUCGAGUGAUCCUGCGCCGAAGAUUUCCGGGGCUAAAACUU
Molecule: ribosomal RNA, 421 nt
Filed under: Clostridioides difficile
Lineage: Bacteria; Bacillati; Bacillota; Clostridia; Peptostreptococcales; Peptostreptococcaceae
Description: partial 23S ribosomal RNA
Rfam family: Bacterial large subunit ribosomal RNA
Source: RNAcentral